AGGGGAUUCGUUUAGUGGUAAGACAUCACCCUUUGAAGGUGAUUACGUAGGUUCGAUUCCUGCAUCCCCUU
This 71-nucleotide transfer RNA is filed under the name Paenibacillus polymyxa SC2. It matches the Rfam family "tRNA". Rfam says of the family: Transfer RNA (tRNA) molecules are approximately 80 nucleotides in length. The record is from Rfam by way of RNAcentral. Lineage: Bacteria; Bacillati; Bacillota; Bacilli; Caryophanales; Paenibacillaceae.